GGGGAAAAGAGAAAUCUUUACCUGCAAGAGGGGGGCUCAGUUCCAAGACUUUAAUGCUGAGACUUCUGAAUCAGCUAUGGAAAUGAAUGUGUACCCGUGAAAGGAACAUGGAACAUUAGAGAAAGAUAAUAGUGAAACAGUUGAAAACCUGGCACUGUCUGUUGGGUGCUGCUACAAGGAGGCCCUUUCCUCAUGCACCCAGUGUGGGCAGAGUGAUCUAGGAGAAGACCUGCCUCUGCCUACUGUGCACUGCCACUGGAGGGCCCUUUCUUCUGGAAGCCCAGCACAGGCAGAGAGAAUGAGGAGAAGACCCACCUCUGCUUGCCAGGCAGUGCCACUGGAAGGCCCUUUCCUCUGUAUCCCCAGCACAGGCAGAGAUAUCCAGGAGAAGACCCAAACCUGCCUGCUGGGUGUUGCCACUGAAAGGCCCUUUCCUCCACAUGCCCAGUGGUGGCUGAAGGACACAGACAGAUCCAGAUCUGCCUGCUGUGUACUGCCACCAAAAGGCCACAUUCUACAGGUGGCCAGUGGGCAGAGAGAACCAGCAGAUCCAUCUUCACCUUCAGGGAGCUGCCACCAGAAGGCUUCUUCCUGCAGGCAGCCAGCAGGAGCAGUGACAUACAGAAAGGUAAGCUUUGUGCAUCCAUAGGCCACCAUUUGAGCCCUGUGGUUUUCUCAGAGAGCCGUCAUCCACUAGCAGAAUCAGAUAAACACACAUGUGUGUCUACCAUCGUGAGUAACCCUGUGUAGACACUCAGGGUGAGAGAAGUAGCCCCACUUACAUGCACCACUGAUCAUCAGCAAAGCCCUAGUAUACUAAAAGCUCUGGAGAAUCCCACUAUACAACCUACUAACUUCCUGCAAAUCUGGAAUUAAAGGAACCCAGGUGCCGUCCCCAUCCACCUACACUACAUGGGGCAGCUAAUGUGCGAAGUUCCUGGAAUCCCACAACCGGGAGGGUCAGAAUGAGAGGCACAGUGUAGUUCCUUCUUUGAUCACAACACUGAUAUGAAGCAAAACCUAUCAACUGUAGAGUAAACCCUCAGUAGUAUACUGCUCCUUCCUUAUAGGUUGAAAAAUUUUCUCUUCCAAUUUAUUAUUUUACCACAGUAAGGUUAUCACUGGAAUCAUUACAUUUAGCCUUAUUGUCAAAUGCACUGGCUUGACAGAUGCCUAGGAAAGUAGUGUAGGAUGUCUGAGUGUAGGAUGUCUGACUGAGGCAGAGAGGCAUGAACUUACAAGUUACCUCCAGUCUCCAGUCCCUUCAUUUCAGUUGCAUUUCAUCCUGAAGAAUCCCCAUUGGAAUUUUGAAGACUGGCUAUGGGAAUCCACAAGUAACUGAAGACCAAUAACCAAAGGCCAUGACAAAAACCACUGCUUCUCUACCAGGAAAACAUAUCUCUCCACUGAUUUUUAUUCUAUCUAGAAUACAAGUUUAUUGGAUGAUGCUAACCACAAACAGCAUGAAUCUUCUCUCCUUAGGUUGUGGCCUAUAUUCCACAAAUAUCAAGAGCUUUGCUAAUCUGUUAAGUGGUUCCUACUCUAGUCAAGUGGACAUAGGACAAUUAAUAAUCCCAAAUCACUAAUGAUUAUAUUUCUAGGCUCGCCCUACAAAGAUUGUCUUCAGUCAUCCAAAUUACAUUUUACCAGAAAAAUGGUAUGGAAAAGCCAAUCAUUUCCCAGUAGAAGCUCCAUGGCCGUCCUUAGACUUGAGAAAAAACAACCCCCCCAAAUCAUCUGCUCAUAAAUCAUCUGCUUUCCAAAACUCUCCACCUUUUCAUGUCCAACAGUCAUUUAAACUAUGUGUGAAUUAAAGUCUAAUCAUAAUUUUACCUUAUAUAAAAUGAGGGUGGUAAAAGCUCAUCUUCCUAUGACACAAUUUGUAAAAAAGAUGACCCAAUGUGAAUUGCCCAUGUCUUCCUUUGCAUUUGUGAUUCCUUCAACAUUCCACUUGAGAGUUGAUGCAAAAUUCCUGGUGCCUGAGUAUUUUCAUUUUGUCUUUAAGAAAUACAUGCUUUGCUUCCACAUAUCUACUGACUCAUCCAGUCAUUGCUAUAAUAUAUCAUGAAUAUCUUAUGUGUUCUUCUAUUUUUCAAAAAGUGAAACUGCCCUAGUGUUGAAUCUUCUUGAAGCUGAACCACAUCAUUAAAUUUAAAUCAUCUGAUUGAAGUGUGUUAUUACAGGAACUGCAAUGACAUUUUAAGUGUUUAUAGGCACAUAUUUAUUACAUGUAUUAUCAGUGCUCUAUGAAACCACAAGAAAUACAACACACAUAGAGUACUACAUUAUUUGUUCAUCGUCUAAGAUUUGAUCUUUGUAUCUUUUGAGCAGGAGGGUUGAGAUAGGGUCUUGCUAUGAAGUGAAGGUUGACCUUGAACUCACUUAUGUAAUCUAGGCUGACCUUGAACUCACAACAACACUCCUGGCUCUGCUCCCAAGUGCUGGAAUUAAAGAAUGCAACACUGCACCUGGUUUUCCAUGUACUUUUUAUUUGUGCUAUUAAUCUUUUUGGUACCAGGAAUCAAACACACAAGCUCACAUUUUCCAGGUAAGUACAUUACUGCUGUGCUAUGUCCUUGGAAGUUUGCAUACUUUAACGUUCCUGACAUCUCUGAAUUUAAAAAGGAAUGAGAAAAUGGCAAAAAGAAGAAGCAAAAGGAUAGCUGUUAUGCAGAACCAGAGGAGAGAAUAUAAGGAUAAUGAGAAAGAAGAGUGACAGAGAGGAAGUGCUCCUAUGAAGUAUAGAUUUGACAUCAAAUAUCUGAGGUAAGACAUGUUGGGUGAGGCCUUUUUCAUGAUGUCCUUCUGGUCCUUGCUUUUGAGGAUGAAUGUAAUGAGAUAUACUGGGCCCUUUAAAGAGAUUAUGAUAUUUCAAAACAUUGAAUGGAAGUAAACAACAUAGAAAGAGCCAGAGUGCUUGGUGAGCACAGUGAGGUACACUAUAUGCAUAAAGAAGGCCACCUGCUCUCCCUCAGUAGAGAGGAUCUUUAACAGAGACCACAGUGAUGACACUAGAAAACAAAUGAACACUAAAUAGCAAUAACAUCUCACACAGUAUUGAUCUCUCUUCAGUUUUACUUCAUGUGGAAGAGAAAUUCUUGGGCUAUAAUACAUUCAUACAAUACAAGGUGGCAUUAUUAUUUUUAACAUACUUAAUAAUAUUCAGACACUACAUAAGAUCAUUUCAAAUGUUUAUAAUGUCCAAGAGAUAUUAUUUUAUAAAACAAACAAGCAACUAUUAAAAAUCAUUUUGUUAGGACAUAUAGGUCAUAUAAAACUUUCCUGCAAUUUCAAAUUUAAAUAUAAUAUUGUUUAUAGUAAAGAGAAGUCACAUACUGUAGGGGAGGAGAAGGUUUACAAAUCUCAUGUGUUUUCCUUUUUAAGAGCACAUGGAAAGAUGCAAGUAUGGUCACAUGAAUUAGAUGUGACAUUGCAAAUGGAUGGCAUUCUGUAGAGAGGCCACACUGACUCCAUUUUGCCCCAGACACAUCCAGCUGACAAUGUUUUGAGAAAAAGCACAGGCCUUGAAACACUGCCCCAUUUAAAGUUAAAAACAUGAGGUCCUAUAAAGAGAAGAAGCAAACAAGUUAUACAACCUAAGUACAUGCAACUUGAGUUUCUUCAUUCUCUAUCUCAAUAAAAGCUGCUUACUUAUACAGACUGGGUGGAAGAUAUUAGCUAAACACAAUUUUAGAAAUAUGUAAAAUUUCAAAACAAUAUUAGGAAUGGGAUGCUGGAAAAUUAAAAGUUGGCAAGAAAUUUAUAUGAUAAUUUUAAAAUCCCAGUAUAAAUUUGUCUCCCAGUGCAUUUACAAGUGAUUGCUUGAAACUUUUAAGCUAUUGGUGAAGCUAUGCUGUGCCUGGUGACCCAUUCAGGAACACUUCUGUUUCUCUGUGUCAGGUAGAAGCUUUCUUUCCUCAAUAAAUAUAAUCUGUUGUUAACCCCCAAUGUUCCUAAAAUUCAUUCUUUGAUUUAGAGAACACAAAUUAACACCAGACAUCUAGAAGUUUUAGGAUUUCUUUUAGCUGUAUCAUUAGAAGGCUUUCCACAGAGGUCAUUGGAUGAUGAUAUGUGGGAAUCAAAGUCAAAAUCUUGUACUCAUUUAUAAUGCAUUCUCAAGCACUGAAAGAUGCUUGACACUUACAUGCCUGAAAAUGUGCAAUUUGAUGUUUUUCUGCACAUGCACAUGCCCUGCCUACCAUCUAGAGACAGAAUGGAAUGCACAGGGAAGUGUUAAUUAUGAUGUUCUUUUCAACUAAAAUUACACUGUUAAAGGGAUGAAAAAUGUUCAGAAGCACCAUAUGUUCAAACUUUUUACAUGAUGAAAAAACUCAUAUUUGUGCUCUAAGGAUAAUUACAAUUCAUGGGAAACUACUCCUGUUCAUAUGACUUUUUCUCUCAAUGACUUAAAGCAGAUCAAGAUAGGGGCUGGGGAUUUAGCUCAGCGGCAUAAGCACCUGCCUUGCAAGCAGGCGGUUGUGAGUUCGAUCCCUGGUACCGAUAAAAAUGAAAAAGACAAAAAAAAAAAAAAAAAAAAAAAAAAAGCAGAUCAAGAUAGAAGUAGAAAAAUUGGCAAAUGACCCUGAUAAAUACAUUGAUGUCUUUACAGGAUUUACCCAGACCUAUAAGGUAGAUUGGAAAGGUAUAAAGUUAAUCUUAAAUCAAUCACUGACUUCUAAUGAGAGACUAAAAACAUUACAAGCUGCAAUUACAUUUGGUAAUAAACACCAUAGUGUUAUUUUUAAACAUCCAGAAGACAGGCAUCCAGGGGAACAACCAGUUUUCCCUGGAGUUUGAGCAGUCCUUACUCAAGACCCCUGCAGGACAAACAGCCACAAAACAGAUUGGAGCCGAAAAUGUUUUCAAGUAUGUAUUCUUGAAAGACUAGGAAGGACAAAAACCAAGCCUUCUAGUUAUUUUACCUUGACAUCUAUUUAUCAGGAGAAAGAUGAAAACACCUCUGCCUUCUUGUAUCCCUUACAAAAGGCACUGGUAAACAUGUGUUCAUGCUCUGAAUUCAAUAAAAUGGGUUUUGUUUAAAGGCAUGGUUAUUGUCCAGACAGUACAGGCAUUACAAAAGUUACAGGGCUGAGGCUUAGCUCAGUGGCAUAAGUGCCUGUUUGGCAAAGAUGAGGUCAUGAGUUCGACCCCCAGUAGCCCCAAAAAGUUACAAAAGAUAGACAUUGCUAUAAUUAGUUCACUUGAUAAUUUAAGGAAACACUGCCUCCUUAGUAUUUUAUAAUCAAGACUGGGAAAAAGGCAAGGAAAGAAAACAAAGAUACUGAAAAGUUGCCUGCCUUUGUUGAGCCCUUAAGAAUAACAAAAUCUAAACCCAAUUCUUAGCGUUCCAAGAAGAGCUCAAUAGGUAGACUCAACUGGUAAUUCUGAGGAAAGCCAGGCCAUCUUUAGAGGGAUGGUCUUAAGAGCAUCCCUAUCUUAUUACCUGAAUGAAAAUGCAUCCACUGAAAUUGAUAUUGAACUCUGAGAUGGAGGCCCCAGAGCUCAGACUCAUCUUCCCAGAAGGUCUAACAAGACUAACAGACACAAGGCACUCUGCCUCUUCUUUCUGGCUGAGCUGUCAUAUUUACUUGUCUUCUCCUGGAGGAGCCCUAGAUAAUGAUGACCUGAGAGAGAAAAAAGACCCAGCGUAUUUCUGGACUUUGGCACUGGUCUCUUUGUCUUUCUGCAGCUCUGGCCAUCUUCCCAGACAUCUUAUCUGAAUAAAAAGAGUCACCAGAAGAUGAAUAACUCAUUUAAGCUGUAAAUGGGAUGGCUUUCUUAUUAUAUGUUUCUUUUUUAAUUUGCCUAAAACUCUAAAUUCCAUCCUAGGGAGAUAUUAUACCCAGUUUAAGUAUGGCAAUAUAUAUACACAGGUUGCCAACUAAUCAAAUGUUUUAUGGCUUACCAGAUCUAAUUCAUUUCUUCUUCUUCAUGGGUUCCUCCCAGCCUUAGCACAUCUUCUGAUGAUUCACAGAAGGCCCUUACUACAAACGCAAUAGAUAUUGUCGUUCAUGAAAAAUAAAUUACAGUUUUUCAUUGGCUAAAAUAAUGCAACAAUUGUUAUAAUCUGGUUCUCACAAGUCAUUAAAAUUUUCAAAAUAAUAUAACUAAAGCUAUAGGGACAUUGACAAAAUAAUAGAUUCCAUCAGGAAAGGGUUCUAAGAAUCAGUGGUUUUGAAUUGCUACUCUAUUCCCUUAAAAACAAGUAUGAGACUUACCUGUCACCUCUUUUUGUCACAGUUUCAUUACACAAGCUCUAAUUUCCCUAAAUGUUUAUUUAUUUUUGCCUACAUGGUGCAAAACCCCAAGGAAUCAUAUAAAUAAAACCAAUGGCAAUGUGCUAGAUUACAUUUACCAGAAUCUGAAAAGUAAAAACUGUACAAGGAAAAUUAUUUUUGAACACCUGUGUUAGGGCUGGAAAUUUAGCUCCGUGGCAUAAGUACACCCUACAAGCAUAUUUGUGAGUUUGAUCCCUGAAAUAAAACAAAAACAAAGAAUGAAAUAAAAAUAAAACCUGUGUUUUGUCUGAAACUACCUAGCUCUGUAAAUACUUCAUGCUCUGUAAUUAUAUUCUUAAACACUGUAAUGAAGAAGAAUAAUCAAACAUGCAGUAGGUCACUUUGUAACUGAUUAUCAUUAACCUAGUCUUGUAUCUGAUGAUCUCUCUCUGCUAGCUAAUCAGAAGAAUUUCCACACUGUUUUGAUUCACCUUUGUACCUCCUACUUAUGCAUCAUAUAAAAGCUCUAGACCAUCAGAGAUAGAGGCCUGAUAUUUUGGGAAUGAUCUCAAUCAGUGCCCAUCAAUAUUAAAGAAAUCUGCCUCCAAAUCCUGGGUGUAGUUUUGAAGGACAAUUGAAAUUUCAAGUAAAGCCCACUAAGAAUACAUGCCAAAUCCCAGUGGGUGUGUUUGGGGCAACCCUGGUAAGAGAACAAUCCUUUCUUUAGCUCCUGUUUUUAUAGCCUUUGUGUGAUCUCUGGCCUUGUAAUGCUACUUGAGGUGACCUUACUGCCUUUUUAUAACUGAUAGUCUUAUAAUGUAACAACUUGAGCUUUCCAAACUCUUUCAGUAAUCCAAGAUGUAUACCCAACUCUCCAAUCACGUGUACUAAAU
This is a long non-coding RNA of Cavia porcellus (domestic guinea pig), 7111 nucleotides long. RefSeq lists it as uncharacterized. The record is from RefSeq and is a predicted model, not a curated record. The transcript is spliced from 3 exons. Lineage: Eukaryota; Metazoa; Chordata; Mammalia; Rodentia; Caviidae.